UGGAUUAGAGUUUGAUCCUGGCUCAGAAUCAACGCUGGCGGCGUGCCUCAGACAUGCAAGUCGAACGCGAAAGCCUCCUUCGGGGGGCAAGUAGAGUGGCGCACGGGUGAGUAACACGUAGGUAAUCUACCUUUGGAUUGGGAAUAACCACCGGAAACCGUGGCUAAUACCGAAUAAUGCAGCGGCACCUAAUGGUGACAGUUGUUAAAGCGGGGGAUCGCAAGACCUCGCGUCUGAAGAGGAGCCUGCGGCAGAUUAGCUAGUUGGUAAGGUAACGGCUUACCAAGGCGAUGAUCUGUAGCCGGCCUGAGAGGGCGGUCGGCCACACUGACACUGAAACACGGGCCAGACUCCUACGGGAGGCAGCAGUGGGGAAUCUUGCACAAUGGAGGAAACUCUGAUGCAGCGACGCCGCGUGAGCGAUGAAGCC
RNAcentral lists this ribosomal RNA (430 nucleotides) under uncultured Acidobacteriota bacterium. RNAcentral describes it as "bacterial SSU rRNA". It matches the Rfam family "Bacterial small subunit ribosomal RNA", at positions 1 to 415 of the family's 1533-position model. The record is from RNAcentral. Lineage: Bacteria; Pseudomonadati; Acidobacteriota.